This 465-nucleotide ribosomal RNA is filed under the name uncultured bacterium. Its description in RNAcentral is "partial 16S ribosomal RNA". It matches the Rfam family "Bacterial small subunit ribosomal RNA", at positions 28 to 507 of the family's 1533-position model. The record is from RNAcentral.
GACGAACGCUGGCGGCGUGCUUAACACAUGCAAGUCGAACGGAAAGGCCCCUUUGGGGGUUCUCGAGUGGCGCACGGGUGAGUAACACGCGAGUAACCUGCCCUUGACUUCGGGAUAACUUCAGGAAACUGGGGCUAAUUCCGGCUAGGAAUCCUUGCUGCAUGGUGGGGGUUGGAAAGCUUCGGCGGUUUUGGAUGGACUGGCGGCGUAUCAGCUUGUUGGUGGGGUAGUGGCUUACCAAGGCUUUGACGGGUAGCCGGCCUGAGAGGGUGACCGGCCACAUUGGGACUGAGAUACGGCCCAGACUCCGACGGGAGGCAGCAGGGGGGAAUAUUGCACAAUGGGCGGAAGCCUGAUGCAGCAGCGCCGCGUGCGGGAUGACGGCCUUAGGGUUGUAAACCGCUUGCAGCAGGGGCGAAGCUUGUGGUGACGGUACCUGCAGAAGAAGCACCGGCUAACUACGUG